CUAUAAAAGCUGGAAGCUAAGCGACGUAGCGUCCUUUUCUGUAGCUGGUCGCUGUGAGAAGCUAGCAGAAGUUCACAAUGUUUUACAAGAUUAUCAGUCUAGUUACUUCACAUGUCGAGUUGCUCGCUAAUCGCAUUUCAUUGGACGGUCACCUCUUCGUCCCAGAUUUUGGAUGAUGUCUGUGUCUCUGGCAUGAGUGCAUUGAUCUGAUAAGUGAUGUUGAAGCAGGCUAUUCAAGCAUCAUGCAUAGAUUCAGCAAAAUACGCCGUGGGUGAACUCAGAAGAGCAGCAGUCAUUUUUGUUACGUUGACAUGACGUUUAACAGCAGCAGUGAACAGUGAGCAAUGUGUGACGGCAGGAAAAGGGGUGAGACGUUUCUACAGUCAUCCUGCAUCGCUUGGAUUUUAUCGUCUCCAUCAUUCUGAAGACUGAUUUUUGUGUUUUCAUGCUUUUUGUAAUAAAAAAUAUUACAAAUCCCUAAA
Molecule: long non-coding RNA, 482 nt
Organism: Poecilia latipinna (sailfin molly)
Lineage: Eukaryota; Metazoa; Chordata; Actinopteri; Cyprinodontiformes; Poeciliidae
Exons: 4
Source: RefSeq, a predicted model, not a curated record